GNNACGNNNUCNUGCNGUCGACGAUUCCUACGGGAGGCAGCAGUGGGGAAUAUUGGACAAUGGGCGAAAGCCUGAUCCAGCCAUGCCGCGUGGGUGAAGAAGGCCUUAGGGUUGUAAACCCCUUUCAGCGGGGAAGAUAAUGACGGUACCCGCAGAAGAAGCCCCGGCUAACUCCGUGCCAGCAGCCGCGGUAAUACGGAGGGGGCUAGCGUUGUUCGGAAUUACUGGGCGUAAAGCGCGCGUAGGCGGAUCUGCAAGUCAGGGGUGAAAUCCCGAGGCUCAACCUCGGAACUGCCUUUGAUACUGCGGAUCUCGAGUCCGAGAGAGGUGAGUGGAAUUCCUAGUGUAGAGGUGAAAUUCGUAGAUAUUAGGAAGAACACCAGUGGCGAAGGCGGCUCACUGGCUCGGUACUGACGCUGAGGCGCGAAAGCGUGGGGAGCAAACAGGAUUAGAUACCCUGGUAGUCCACGCCGUAAACGAUGUCAACUAGACGUUGGGGGGUUUAACCCUUUAGUGUCGCAGCUAACGCAAUAAGUUGACCGCCUGGGGAGUACGGCCGCAAGGUUAAAACUCAAAGGAAUUGACGG
RNAcentral lists this ribosomal RNA (587 nucleotides) under uncultured Rhodobiaceae bacterium. RNAcentral's name for it is "bacterial SSU rRNA". It matches the Rfam family "Bacterial small subunit ribosomal RNA", at positions 309 to 916 of the family's 1533-position model. Lineage: Bacteria; Pseudomonadati; Pseudomonadota; Alphaproteobacteria; Hyphomicrobiales; Rhodobiaceae. The record is from RNAcentral.